GCAGGAGUCAGUCCCUCUCAGGACACAGCAUGGACAUGAGGGCCCCUGCUCAGCUCCUGGGGCUGCUGCUGCUCUGGCUCCCAGGUGCCAGCUGUGACAUCCAGAUGAGCCAGUCUCCAUCCUCCCUGUCUGCAUCUCUAAGAGACACAGUCACCAUCACUUGCCAGGCCAGUCAGGGCAUUAGCAGUUGGUUAGCCUGGUAUCAGCAGAAACCAGGGAAAUCUCCUAAGCUCCUGAUCUAUGCUGCAUCCAAUUUGCAAUCUGGGGUUCCAUCGAGGUUCAGAGGCAGUGGGUCAGGGAAAGAUUUCACCCUCACCAUCAGUGGCCUACAGGCUGAAGAUUUUGCAACUUAUUACUGUCAGCAGUAUAACAGUUGGCCUCCCACAGUGUUACAAGUCAUACCAUAA
This is a non-coding RNA of Otolemur garnettii (small-eared galago), 407 nucleotides long. NCBI's taxonomy places the organism in Eukaryota, Metazoa, Chordata, Mammalia, Primates, Galagidae. The record is from the annotation of a RefSeq genome assembly.